Molecule: ribosomal RNA, 783 nt
Filed under: Cliostomum haematommatis
Lineage: Eukaryota; Fungi; Ascomycota; Lecanoromycetes; Lecanorales; Ramalinaceae
Description: SSU rRNA
Rfam family: Bacterial small subunit ribosomal RNA
Source: RNAcentral
AUAUAUUGCGAAAGCUAACUGUAUAUCAUUAUGCAGGAUCAACUUCGUUGAAUAAAAUUCUGGGCAAUCGUUAUCAUGAAACGGUUUACCCAUGUGUCUUGACUAAAUUGCGUGCCAGCAGUCGCGGUAAUACGUAGAAGACUAGUGUUAUUCAUCUUUAAUAGGUUUAAAGAGUACCUAGACGGUAAAUCGAGCCCUAGUCGGGACUAAUUUGCUAGAGUUACUUACGAGGGGGCUUUAAAGUACUAAUGGUGUAAAGAUAAAAUUUUGUAAUACCAUUUUUCGAAAGAAAAAUUAUGGCACUGGUAAAGGUGAAGGCAUCCCCCUAUGUGAUAACUGACGUUGAAGGACGAAGGCUUUGGGUCGCGAAUAGGAUUAGAUACCCUAGUAGUCAAAGCAGAAAAUUAUGAGUGUCAUAGACUAGACGACCAGGUUUAUUCUAUAAAUGAAAGUGUAAGCACUCCACCUCAAGAGUAAUAUGGCAACAUCGGAACUGAAAUCAUUAGACCGUUUCUGAAACCAGUAGUGAAGUAUGUUGUUUAAUUUGAUAAUCCGCAAAAAACCUUACCACAACUUGAAUAGGUAUAUCAUGUUUUGAUAUAUUUACAAGCGUUGCACGGCUGUCUUCAGUUAAUGUCGUGAGACUAUGGUUAGAUCCAUUAAAUUAACGUAAGCCCUUGCUUUAUUUUUAAAUAGAGUAGUUCUCCACUAUAUUGGAUAAGAUAACAGGGACUAAGACAAGUCAUCAUGGCCUGAAUGUUGUGGGCUAUAGACGGUGCCACA